This 492-nucleotide ribosomal RNA is filed under the name uncultured bacterium. RNAcentral describes it as "partial 16S ribosomal RNA". It matches the Rfam family "Bacterial small subunit ribosomal RNA", at positions 29 to 507 of the family's 1533-position model. The record is from RNAcentral.
AGUGAACGCUGGCGGCAGGCCUAACACAUGCAGGUCGAACGGCAGCACAGUAAGAGCUUGCUCUUACGGGUGGCGAGUGGCGGACGGGUGAGGAAUACAUCGGAAUCUACUUUUUCGUGGGGGAUAACGUAGGGAAACAUACGCUAAUACCGCAUAUGACCUACGGGUGAAAGCAGUGGAUCUUCGGACCUUGUGCGAUUGAAUGAGCCGAUGUCGGAUUAGCUAGUUGGCGGGGUAAAGGCCCACCAAGGCGACGAUCCGUAGCUGAUCUGAGAGGAUGAUCGGCCACACUGGAACUGAGACACGGUCCAGACUCCUACGGGAGGCAGCAGUGGGGAAUAUUGGGCAAUGGGCGCAAGCCUGAUCCAGCCAUGCCGCGUGGGUGAAGAAGGCCUUCGGGUUGUAAAGCCCUUUUGUUGGGAAAGAAAAGCAGCAGGUUAAUACCCCGCUGUUCUGACGGUACCCAAAGAAUAAGCACCGGCUAACUUCGUG